GGCGAAAUAGCUCAGCUGCGAAAGCUUUAGAAUGAGAAUUUAGUGUCCCUGGUUCGAACCCGCUUUCGACA
Cordylochernes scorpioides is the source of this 71-nucleotide non-coding RNA. NCBI's taxonomy places the organism in Eukaryota, Metazoa, Arthropoda, Arachnida, Pseudoscorpiones, Chernetidae. The record is from the annotation of a GenBank genome assembly.